AUCAAAGUAGGUAUUCUUACCAUCAUUGGACAGUGUGGAAUCUGAGGAUCAGUGAGUUGAAAUGACUGGCCAGAAAUCACUUUGAAGUGGGUUUGAGCAGGGGCUUGCACCCUGAUUUGGGAAUCCAUGCUGCCUCCAUCAGUCCACUAUGGAAGAGCACUGGCGAGCCUAGGGUGACUCACUCAGAUGAUGGAAUGAGUGAAGUGUGACUCCUUCCUUCUGCUUUUGGGACAAUGGCUCUACUUUGGAUGGGGCCUCCCCUCCUUUCUCUGCUUCCUGUCCCACCUCUGUCUCCUGUCCUGGUUCUGCUCUUGAAACAUCCAGUUAAAUAACUGAACUGUUAAAUGAAUAAACCAAUGCUGAAAGCCCAUAAUACAGAAAAAUCAUCUCAGCUUUAAUGAAAUAGAGUAUUAUCUUGUACCAGUCUUUCUCCUUGAAAGGAGUAUUUGCUGUUUUGUUCUCUGAUUUAUCCCCAACAACAAAG
Long non-coding RNA from Manis pentadactyla (Chinese pangolin), 484 nucleotides. RefSeq lists it as uncharacterized. The record is from RefSeq and is a predicted model, not a curated record. NCBI's taxonomy places the organism in Eukaryota, Metazoa, Chordata, Mammalia, Pholidota, Manidae. The transcript has 3 exons.